GGUGCAGGAAGCGGGUUACAUUGGUGACUAUGCCACGUGUUUGCUCCUGGCCACCUAGAGUUGCCCUUGUCAUCUGGGAAUGUCUCCGAUAUUGUUUUCCAGAAUAGCACAGAACCGGCUUUCUCUGGCCUGAGCUGGCUCCUCUGCUGACCACCUGGUCUCAGAAGGCUGACAGUCUCCUGGCGUGUCCUCACCCAUAGCUUUGAAGACUAAUUCACCUUUUAACUCCUAGUUUUUGGAAUGGCGUCCACUCCGAAGCUGGAGAGCUGCCUUGGACCUUAUUGUCCUUUAGAGGUGUCCACUCCUUAGUCCUAAGGGGACCCUCUUUCUCAUGGGGGUCCCUAACUAGUCCUGGGAUAGAAAAGAGACCAGGAGAGGACAGAUCAGGGGCCAGGCAGGGACGGGGGAGGGACAGGUGUCCUGUGUUCCAUUAAGUGGAUCCUCGGUGCUCAGGUAAGCAGGGAGCAGCGUCCUCGGAGAAGCCGGGACAGUCAGACAGGUGCAGUAGCUAAGGCAGGCUCCGUGGCCUGGCACUAGUGACGUCUGCAGUGAGGUGGUUCUUGUCGUGGGGAUGCCCUCACCAUUAGCAGCAUCCCGGAUCCCCACACACCAGGUGCCAGGAGCACUCCUGCAUCCCUCCAGUCAAAAUGUCUCCAGGGGCUGGGGACGUGGCUCAGUGGCAGAGGGUGAACUGGGCAUGCGUAAGGCCCGGGUUCCAGCCUAAAAAAAAAAAAAAAAAAAAUCUCCAGACAUUGUUAAAUGUCCCCUAAGGUCAGAAUCACCCUGGACUGAGAAUCACAGAGCUGAUUAAACCUCAGCACUAACAAAACAAAGGAAUUGCUCAGGCCCCGGGAAUGGGCUCUCCAGAGCUUUCCCCCUCCCUCCAGGCUGCCUGGCUAGGCCCCUGCCACCCCCCUUGGCAUCCAGCUAGACAAUGGCCCGAGGACAGUCAGGCAGUGUGAGAGACUUUAGGGGCCAGGCCUGGACAUGACCACCCCCUGUGUACCAGUGCACAGGCCACUGGCCCAUGUGACAGCACAGGAUAAAUCUGGCCCCAGAGUGAGCAAGGAGACUCCAGACCUGGCAGGCUGCCAGCCCACCUGCACCUCCUCUUUCCUGGCUUCCACCCUGACUGCUGUGGGCCCCCCUCGAACCCAGCCAGUCCCUCCUCCCAGCCUCAGUUUCCUUCUCAGGGAUGGAUCCCGGAAACAGGGCAGACAGAAAAAGAAGACACAAAAUACUGUGUGAGUCCCUUUGUGUGCAGUGUCCAGAGCAGGCAAAUCUAGAGUCAGGAAGGUGAGCGGUGGCCAGGGGCAGGGGUGGGGAAGCAGGGAGUAGCCGUGGAGUAGGCCUAGGGUUUCCUCUGGAGGGUCUGCAGAAUGCUCUGGAACUGGACAGAGGUUCUGAGUGUCCUAGAUGCUCCUGGCUUACAUACAUUCAAAUGGUUUCUUGAGUGUUUUGAGAAUUUUACUUCAAUUUAAAAAAGGAGAGUCCCUUCGGGUUCCAAGUUGAGUGAUUACUUAAGAUUCAGGCAGGGCAGGAGCCAGGCUAGGGCUAAAAGUGGAAAAAUGGGUUCAGUUCUCCCCGAGGACACACUCUGGAUAAAUAAGUAAACAAAAGGCUUUGCCCAUUGAAUGAGCACCACACAAGCAACCUGCGUGAGCUGUAAACCCUCCAUAAAUGUGAGCGAAUGUCACCACUCUUUGCAACCUUCUCGGUAUUCUCCUAAAUAGAGCUUGGGCCGGACUGGACCCGGAGUGAGCAAG
RNAcentral lists this long non-coding RNA (1766 nucleotides) under Marmota monax (woodchuck). The record is from RNAcentral. Lineage: Eukaryota; Metazoa; Chordata; Mammalia; Rodentia; Sciuridae.